GAUUCCGUAGCUCAGUUGGUAGAGCACCUCCCUUUUAAGGAGGUGGUCCUGGGUUCGAGCCCCAGCGGGAUCA
RNAcentral lists this transfer RNA (73 nucleotides) under Brumimicrobium salinarum. It matches the Rfam family "tRNA". From Rfam's summary of the family: Transfer RNA (tRNA) molecules are approximately 80 nucleotides in length. Their secondary structure includes four short double-helical elements and three loops (D, anti-codon, and T loops). Further hydrogen bonds mediate the characteristic L-shaped molecular structure. tRNAs have two regions of fundamental functional importance: the anti-codon, which is responsible for specific mRNA codon recognition, and the 3' end, to which the tRNAs corresponding amino acid is attached (by aminoacyl-tRNA synthetases). tRNAs cope with the degeneracy of the genetic code in two manners: having more than one tRNA (with a specific anti-codon) for a particular amino acid; and 'wobble' base-pairing, i.e. permitting non-standard base-pairing at the 3rd anti-codon position. The record is from Rfam by way of RNAcentral. Lineage: Bacteria; Pseudomonadati; Bacteroidota; Flavobacteriia; Flavobacteriales; Crocinitomicaceae.